This 301-nucleotide ribosomal RNA is filed under the name uncultured bacterium. RNAcentral describes it as "partial 16S ribosomal RNA". It matches the Rfam family "Bacterial small subunit ribosomal RNA", at positions 509 to 807 of the family's 1533-position model. The record is from RNAcentral.
CAGUAGCCGCGGUAAUACAGAGGGUGCGAGCGUUAAUCGGAUUUACUGGGCGUAAAGCGUGCGUAGGCGGCUUUUUAAGUCGGAUGUGAAAUCCCUGAGCUUAACUUAGGAAUUGCAUUCGAUACUGGGAAGCUAGAGUAUGGGAGAGGAUGGUAGAAUUCCAGGUGUAGCGGUGAAAUGCGUAGAGAUCUGGAGGAAUACCGAUUGCGAAGGCAGCCAUCUGGCCUAAUACUGACGCUGAGGUACGAAAGCAUGGGGAGCAAACAGGAUUAGAUACCCCUGUAGUCCCUGUCUCUUAUAC